Molecule: ribosomal RNA, 811 nt
Filed under: Staphylococcus aureus
Lineage: Bacteria; Bacillati; Bacillota; Bacilli; Caryophanales; Staphylococcaceae
Description: partial 23S ribosomal RNA
Rfam family: Bacterial large subunit ribosomal RNA
Source: RNAcentral
CUGAGUACGACGGAGCACGUGAAAUUCCGUCGGAAUCUGGGAGGACCAUCUCCUAAGGCUAAAUACUCUCUAGUGACCGAUAGUGAACCAGUACCGUGAGGGAAAGGUGAAAAGCACCCCGGAAGGGGAGUGAAAUAGAACCUGAAACCGUGUGCUUACAAGUAGUCAGAGCCCGUUAAUGGGUGAUGGCGUGCCUUUUGUAGAAUGAACCGGCGAGUUACGAUUUGAUGCAAGGUUAAGCAGUAAAUGUGGAGCCGUAGCGAAAGCGAGUCUGAAUAGGGCGUUUAGUAUUUGGUCGUAGACCCGAAACCAGGUGAUCUACCCUUGGUCAGGUUGAAGUUCAGGUAACACUGAAUGGAGGACCGAACCGACUUACGUUGAAAAGUGAGCGGAUGAACUGAGGGUAGCGGAGAAAUUCCAAUCGAACCUGGAGAUAGCUGGUUCUCUCCGAAAUAGCUUUAGGGCUAGCCUCAAGUGAUGAUUAUUGGAGGUAGAGCACUGUUUGGACGAGGGGCCCCUCUCGGGUUACCGAAUUCAGACAAACUCCGAAUGCCAAUUAAUUUAACUUGGGAGUCAGAACAUGGGUGAUAAGGUCCGUGUUCGAAAGGGAAACAGCCCAGACCACCAGCUAAGGUCCCAAAAUAUAUGUUAAGUGGAAAAGGAUGUGGCGUUGCCCAGACAACUAGGAUGUUGGCUUAGAAGCAGCCAUCAUUUAAAGAGUGCGUAAUAGCUCACUAGUCGAGUGACACUGCGCCGAAAAUGUACCGGGGCUAAACAUAUUACCGAAGCUGUGGAUUGUCCUUUGGACAAU